ACUUCUAAAGGAUCUAGUGUUUGC
Molecule: non-coding RNA, 24 nt
Filed under: Arabidopsis thaliana (thale cress)
Lineage: Eukaryota; Viridiplantae; Streptophyta; Magnoliopsida; Brassicales; Brassicaceae
Source: RNAcentral